Molecule: ribosomal RNA, 446 nt
Filed under: uncultured bacterium
Lineage: Bacteria
Description: bacterial SSU rRNA
Rfam family: Bacterial small subunit ribosomal RNA
Source: RNAcentral
GAUGAACGCUAGCUACAGGCUUAACACAUGCAAGUCGAGGGCAGCAUGACGAUAGCUUGCUAUUGUUGAUGGCGACCGGCGCACGGGUGAGUAACGCGUAGACAACCUGCCGCAAAGAUGGGGACAACAGUCCGAAAGGACUGCUAAUACCGAAUGUUGUAUCUCCUCCGCAUGGAAGAGAUAUUAAAGAUGGCCUCUACUUGUAAGCUAUCGCUUUGCGAUGGGUCUGCGUCUGAUUAGCUAGUUGGUGGGCAACGGCCUACCAAGGUCGACGAUCAGUAGCCGGUCUGAGAGGAUGAACGGCACAUUGGGACUGAGACACGGCCCAGACUCCUACGGAGGCAGCAGUGGGAAUCUUCCGCAAUGGGCGAAAGCCUAGACGGAGCGAAUGCCGCGUGAGUGAUGAAGGAAUUCGUUCCGUAAAGCUCUUUGUUAUGACGAAUGUG